GUGGCUAUAGCUCAAUUGGUUAGAGCACGAGACUGUGGCUCUCGGUGUUGCCGGUUCGAGUCCGGUUAGCCACCCCA
RNAcentral lists this transfer RNA (77 nucleotides) under Candidatus Omnitrophota bacterium. Its description in RNAcentral is "tRNA-His". It matches the Rfam family "tRNA". From Rfam's summary of the family: Transfer RNA (tRNA) molecules are approximately 80 nucleotides in length. Their secondary structure includes four short double-helical elements and three loops (D, anti-codon, and T loops). The record is from RNAcentral. Lineage: Bacteria; Pseudomonadati; Candidatus Omnitrophota.